AUCCUCUGCGGCAGCUUGGCUCAGCAGAGCAGCAGACUGCCCUGCUUGCCAGGCCAGCCGCACCCUACCUGCUUUCUGCUACGGAGACCCCAGCCCAGCACCGGCCCGAGGAGCCAGAGCCUGCUUCUGGUCCAGGCCAGCCAGACCCUCCAGGCCACCGAACACAAGGCAGCCAGGCCAGUGCUUCCCCACCUCCCUCUCGGGCUUGGCUCCUCUCCUCUACCUCUCGGGUCCUCGCCUGGCACCUGCAGUGACCCCCUGCCUGGCCAGGCCCUGGGACCGACCCUCUCUUCCUUCUAAGCCCCUGCCACCUGGUCACCACCCCCAGCCCUCUCAGUCCCCCCACCUCGGCUCCGGCCAUGAAGACCCCCUCAGGGCCGGAGGAGGCCCGGCGGCCCGCCUCAGACAUCCGCGUGUUCGCCAGCAGCUGCACACUGCACGGGCUGGGCCAUGUCUUCGGCCCGGGGAGCCUGACCCCGCGCCGGGGGCUGUGGGCUGUGGCUGUGCUCCUGUCGCUGGCUGCCUUCCUCUACCAGGUGGCAGAGAGGGUGCGUUACUACGGGGAGUUCCACCAUGAGACAGCCCUGGACGAGCGUGAGAGCCACCAGCUCACCUUCCCGGCUGUCACCCUGUGCAACAUCAACCCACUGCGCCGCUCACGCCUCACACCCAACGACCUGCACUGGGCUGGGCCAGCGCUGCUGGGCCUGGAGCCCGCCGAGCACGCCGCCUUCCUGCGCGCCCUGGGCCGGCCCCCCACGUCACCCGGCUUUAUGCCCAGUCCCACCUUCGACAUGGCCCGACUCUAUGCCCGGGCAGGGCACACGCUGGAGGACAUGCUGCUGGACUGCCGCUACCGCGGCCAACCGUGCGGGCCGGAGAACUUCACCGCGAUCUUCACCCGGAUGGGUCAGUGCUACACCUUCAACUCUGGCGCCAAUGGGGCAGAGCUUCUCACCACCCCCAAGGGCGGCGCGGGCAAUGGGCUGGAGGUCAUGCUGGACGUGCAGGAGGAUGAGUACCUGCCCGUGUGGAAGGACGUGGAGGAGACCCCAUUUGAGGUGGGAAUCCGAGUGCAGAUCCACAGCCAGGAGGAGCCACCCAUCAUCGACCAGCUGGGCUUUGGGGUGGCCCCUGGCUACCAGACUUUUGUGUCCUGCCAGCAGCAGCAACUGAGCUUCCUGCCAGCGCCCUGGGGCGACUGCAGCUCGAGAUCUCUGGACCCCGACUUUGACUCCGAACCCUCUGAUCCCCUGGGUGCCCCCGGCCCCACUCCAGGCCCCAGGCCUCCCUAUAGUCUAAUGGGGUGUCGCCUGGCCUGUGAGACCCGCUACGUGGCUCGGAAAUGCGGCUGCCGAAUGAUGCAUAUGCCAGGUGGCGCUCCCGUGUGCAGCCCCCAGCAGUACAAGGAUUGCGCCAACCCCGCGCUGGAUGCCAUGCUGCGGAAGGACGCGUGCACCUGCCCCAACCCGUGCGCCAGCACGCGCUACGCCAAGGAGCUCUCCAUGGUGCGGAUGCCGAGCCGCCCUGCCACCCGCUACCUGGCCCGGAAAUACAACCGCAGCGAGGCCUACAUCGCGGACAACGUGCUGGUACUAGACAUCUUCUUUGAGGCCCUCAACUACGAGACAGUGGAGCAGAAGAAGGCCUAUGAGGCGACAUUGGGGGCCAGAUGGGGCUCUUCAUCGGGGCCAGCCUGCUCACCAUCCUUGAGAUCCUGGACUACCUCUGUGAGGUAUUCCGAGACAGGGUCCUGGGAUACUUCUGGAACCGAAAGCGCUCCCAAAAGCACUCCAGCACCAAUCUGCUUCAGGAAGGGAUGGGCAGCCAUCGAAAUGAAGUGCCCCAUCUCAGCUUGGGCCCCAGCAGGCCUCCCACACCUCCCUGUGCCGUCACCAGGAGUCUUUCUGCCUCCCACCGCACCUGCUACCUCGUCACACGGCUCUAGACCCGAUGUCUGUGUCUUCAGGGCCGCACCUUGCCAUCCUGGACAUGCCCAGCCUGCACAUAACUUUGCUGUCUUCACCCCAAUAAAGUUCUCAGCUGUUCAUCAGUCUCAGCUACUCCUCUUACAGGCAGACUAGUCAGGCCAAAGUUAGCACACUCAGGCACAAGAGCUCUGCCAGCCAUCAUCUAGAGGACAUGGUGUCUGAAAUAUGGGAGGGAUCUGAGUUAACCUCCAGAAAUCCCUCUGGGAGAGAACAGGGCAAGAGCACCAGUUGUUUGCAUCUCAGUGAGAAUGAGUUUGUCAGACUGACAGCUCAGAGAGAAUGGAACCUCACGUCAUGUGUCCGCGUGGAGAGGAGUCAGUGGCAGGGUAGUCCCAUUUGGGGGAUUGUAGGGAAUGGCUGGAAGAAGGCUCUGACCCAGAGCCUGGUAAGAAGUGGGAGAGCAAGCAGCGAGAAGGUAGAGGGACUCCCCACUUCCUAGAACACAAGCCGUGUCCUGCCUUACUUAGAUCAUGCCUUUUUCCCACAUUUAGGACCAAGCUCCAGCACACCCCGUCUCCAUGGGAACAGGUCUCGUUUUCCCAGCCUGCCCACAACAGAGGCCCCAGGCCAGGAACUACAGAUACAGAAGUGAAUUGCUUUGACCUACAUCCUGAUGUCCGUGGUCCUGAUGACCAGCCAGCCUUCCCCGACUCCCACAGAUUGUUCUGCUGCUCCUUUUGGCUCCUUUUGGCUGGAGGAGCAUCUCCUUGGCUUCUUCCCCCAGGGAGCCCUCCAUGUCUACAUGUCACACACUCUCCAGCUGGAAGCAUGCUGCUGCACUGUGACAACCAGGGGCGUCCCUCAGAAGCCCUGCAGCCCCUCUCCAUUCUGGCUUAGUCCAUCGCCACCCUCGCUCUCUGCAUUCUGAGCUCCACAGCUUGUCACUCCCCCUCCAGAGGGCCCCCGACGCAUGGAAAUGGAAGGGUAUCGGAA
This is an RNA transcript of Rhinolophus ferrumequinum (greater horseshoe bat), 2924 nucleotides long. It is a transcript of the gene named acid sensing ion channel subunit 3, with no coding region annotated. The transcript has 12 exons. NCBI's taxonomy places the organism in Eukaryota, Metazoa, Chordata, Mammalia, Chiroptera, Rhinolophidae. The record is from RefSeq and is a predicted model, not a curated record.